This 390-nucleotide ribosomal RNA is filed under the name Bacillus mycoides. RNAcentral's name for it is "bacterial SSU rRNA". It matches the Rfam family "Bacterial small subunit ribosomal RNA", at positions 82 to 465 of the family's 1533-position model. Lineage: Bacteria; Bacillati; Bacillota; Bacilli; Caryophanales; Bacillaceae. The record is from RNAcentral.
UCUUAUGAAGUUAGCGGCGGACGGGUGAGUAACACGUGGGUAACCUACCCAUAAGACUGGGAUAACUCCGGGAAACCGGGGCUAAUACCGGAUAAUAUUUUGAACUGCAUAGUUCGAAAUUGAAAGGCGGCUUCUGCUGUCACUUAUGGAUGGACCCGCGUCGCAUUAGCUAGUUGGUGAGGUAACGGCUCACCAAGGCGACGAUGCGUAGCCGACCUGAGAGGGUGAUCGGCCACACUGGACUGAGACACGGCCCAGACUCCUACGGGAGGCAGCAGUAGGGAAUCUUCCGCAAUGGACGAAAGUCUGACGGAGCAACGCCGCGUGAGUGAUGAAGGCUUUCGGGUCGUAAAACUCUGUUGUUAGGGAAGAACAAGUGCCUAGUUCAAU